RNAcentral lists this ribosomal RNA (429 nucleotides) under Gemmatimonadota bacterium. RNAcentral describes it as "Gemmatimonadetes bacterium partial 16S ribosomal RNA". It matches the Rfam family "Bacterial small subunit ribosomal RNA", at positions 355 to 776 of the family's 1533-position model. Lineage: Bacteria; Pseudomonadati; Gemmatimonadota. The record is from RNAcentral.
UAGGGAAUCUUCGGCAAUGGACGAAAGUCUGACCGAGCAACGCCGCGUGAGUGAAGAAGGUUUUCGGAUCGUAAAACUCUGUUGUUAGAGAAGAACAAGGACGUUAGUAACUGAACGUCCCCUGACGGUAUCUAACCAGAAAGCCACGGCUAACUACGUGCCAGCAGCCGCGGUAAUACGUAGGUGGCAAGCGUUGUCCGGAUUUAUUGGGCGUAAAGCGAGCGCAGGCGGUUUCUUAAGUCUGAUGUGAAAGCCCCCGGCUCAACCGGGGAGGGUCAUUGGAAACUGGGAGACUUGAGUGCAGAAGAGGAGAGUGGAAUUCCAUGUGUAGCGGUGAAAUGCGUAGAUAUAUGAAGGAAAACCAGUGGCGAAGGCGGCUCUCUGGUCUAUAACUGACGCUGAGGCUCGAAAGCGUGGGGAGCAAACAGG